Cannabis sativa is the source of this 955-nucleotide long non-coding RNA. RefSeq lists it as uncharacterized. The record is from RefSeq and is a predicted model, not a curated record. The transcript is spliced from 3 exons. Lineage: Eukaryota; Viridiplantae; Streptophyta; Magnoliopsida; Rosales; Cannabaceae.
AAAGUGUAAUACUCAAUUUAUAUAUAAUGGCAAUCUAUAUAUUAACUAUGUAAUUUAAGUAUAAAUAUUAUUAUUAUGAUUAUAAAUAUGAGAACCUUGUUUUAGUAGAAAUUGUAUUGAUAUUUGAAAUUUAAGCUAUUAGUAAGCUAUAUUUGAAAAGAAAAAAAAAAGUUUGUUUGGUGAUAUUUUUGUGAUUUUAAUUGAAUAGUUGACUUUGAUAUAUAGUCUUUUCGGUUGGAGUUAAAAUAAUAGAUAAAUAAAGGAUUUAAAAUGAUAUAUAUGUAUUUAUAUUUUACUUUUGAUGAGGAAUAGUGACUAAGUUGGUUUAGCCGAGAUAUAUGAGGGAGGUUAUGAGAUUUUUUUUUUAAAAUUCGAAUUGGGUGAUGCCAAUUAGAUGCAACUAAGGAUAGAUAUAUAUAUAAGAUCAUAGUUAUAGUAGUCAUAUAAUAUACAGAAAUUGUUAUAUUUAUGUGAUAUUGGAGUGAGAGAGAAAUUGAUCAGAGUAGGAAGGUGAAUGUGGUCUGGUCUCUUUGUAAAUCGUAGUGCAUCUUACGUAAAAGUUUCUACUGAGGUUUGACUAGGGUGUGGCUACAAAGGCUGCUAUCAUAUAUUGGAUCUGAAAAUAAAAAUUAGUGCAAACUCUUCCACCCUUCACUAUUAAGGGCCUAGAAGGUAUCGUAGGAGUUAAUUACAGCGGCGUUGAGAUAAGUAAGCCUGUAAGCUUUCGGUGACAAGUUGAGUCUAGGCAGCAUGGAGUGUAUCUCGUGUGAUCAUGUAACUGCGUGUGGUCUUGGCCAUCUUCCGCUGAAAGUUUUUUUUUUUAAUUUAUUAAACUUAUCGAGGAUGUUGUCGUUUAAAUUUUCUAUUACUUUUCCGUAAGUGGUAAUACUUUAUUUUCAACUGGGUACCCAUGUUUUGAUAAGUGUUAUUUUUUUUAAUAAAGGCAACAUUAGUA